This 482-nucleotide ribosomal RNA is filed under the name uncultured bacterium. RNAcentral's name for it is "partial 16S ribosomal RNA". It matches the Rfam family "Bacterial small subunit ribosomal RNA", at positions 30 to 507 of the family's 1533-position model. The record is from RNAcentral.
AUUGGACGCUGGCGGCAUGCCUUACACAUGCAAGUCGAACGGUAACAGGUCUUCGGAUGCUGACGAGUGGCGAACGGGUGAGUAAUACAUCGGAACGUGCCCAGACGUGGGGGAUAACGAGGCGAAAGCUUUGCUAAUACCGCAUACGAUCUAAGGAUGAAAGCAGGGGACCGCAAGGCCUUGUGCGUUUGGAGCGGCCGAUGGCAGAUUAGGUAGUUGGUGGGAUAAAAGCUUACCAAGCCGACGAUCUGUAGCUGGUCUGAGAGGACGACCAGCCACACUGGGACUGAGACACGGCCCAGACUCCUACGGGAGGCAGCAGUGGGGAAUUUUGGACAAUGGGCGAAAGCCUGAUCCAGCAAUGCCGCGUGCAGGAUGAAGGCCUUCGGGUUGUAAACUGCUUUUGUACGGAACGAAAAGGCUCUGGCUAAUACCUGGGGCACAUGACGGUACCGUAAGAAUAAGCACCGGCUAACUACGUG